Molecule: ribosomal RNA, 480 nt
Filed under: uncultured bacterium
Lineage: Bacteria
Description: bacterial SSU rRNA
Rfam family: Bacterial small subunit ribosomal RNA
Source: RNAcentral
CGAUUGAACGCUGGCGGCAUGCCUUACACAUGCAAGUCGAACGGUAGAGUAGCAAUACUUGAGAGUGGCGAACGGGUGAGUAAUAUAUCGGAACGUGCCCAACUGUGGGGGAUAACGUAGAGAAAUUUACGCUAAUACCGCAUACGAUCUAAGGAUGAAAGCGGGGGAUCGCAAGACCUCGCGCAGUUGGAGCGGCUGAUAUCAGAUUAGCUUGUUGGUGAGGUAAAAGCUCACCAAGGCGACGAUCUGUAGCUGGUUUGAGAGAACGACCAGCCACACUGGGACUGAGACACGGCCCAGACUCCUACGGGAGGCAGCAGUGGGGAAUUUUGGACAAUGGGCGAAAGCCUGAUCCAGCAAUGCCGCGUGCAGGAAGAAGGCCUUCGGGUUGUAAACUGCUUUUGUACGGAACGAAACGGUCCGCUUUAAUACAGUGGGCUAAUGACGGUACCGUAAGAAUAAGCACCGGCUAACUACGUG